RNAcentral lists this long non-coding RNA (710 nucleotides) under Mytilus galloprovincialis (Mediterranean mussel). Lineage: Eukaryota; Metazoa; Mollusca; Bivalvia; Mytilida; Mytilidae. The record is from RNAcentral.
AAUUGACGAAAUACCUAUUUGCUGUGACGAUGUUUGAUAUUAUACAAACUAAAGGCAUGUAGAACAAAAUCAGAAAACUUUUCCAAAGCCCGAAGUUUUUUUAUUGUUUUUAUUUUCUUCUUCAAAAGUUUGACAAUGGAAUUUGAUACACAAAUCCGAACAUUUGAGUUUAAUAAAGCAUAUUACACAUAGAGUUUGUUCUAGAACGGGAGCCUGUCGUGAAUUUAAAAGUGAUGCAAAAGACGUCACACUUCUUCUGAUGUCAAUCGAAGUAAAACCGUUAAAUAUUUUAAACUAAACACUGGUGUUGUCACCAUAACUAAUUAUGGUUUAUUUCAUACAACACAAACGAUUUAAAAUGGGCCGUGGCAUUUUUGAGAAAUAACUUUAAGGCCAAAAUAUUGGCCAUGUGGCACAGAUUUUCUGAAUACCAUUAAAGUCAAUGAGGCUAUCAGUUUUUACAAAUACUAAUAAAUUGCAAUUAACACCAAUUAAAAGACUGAUCAAAUAUAAAAAAAAACACAAAUACAGUAAAAACAUUCGACACUUGAGAGUGAUAAAUGAACGAAGCAGACAUACUGUGGUGUCAUCACACGAGCAAUCAUAUACAGGUACCAUGCAGAAUAGCGUGACGUUAUCAAUUGUUGUCAGGGUUGCCAUGGCGCUGUUUGAUAAAGUUCGAAGCCAGGCCGAUUCUUAGCAGUCAAAGG